AGAGUUUGAUUCUGGCUCAGGAUGAACGCUAGCGACAGGCUUAACACAUGCAAGUCGAGGGGCAGCAUAAAAGUAGCAAUACUUGGUGGCGACCGGCGCACGGGUGAGUAACGCGUAUGCAACCUACCUAUCAGAGGGGAAUAACCCGGCGAAAGUCGGACUAAUACCGCAUAAAACAGGGGCACCGCAUGGUGAUAUUUGUUAAAGAAAUUCGCUGAUAGAUGGGCAUGCGUUCCAUUAGGUAGUUGGUGAGGUAACGGCUCACCAAGCCGACGAUGGAUAGGGGAACUGAGAGGUUGGUCCCCCACACUGGUACUGAGACACGGACCAGACUCCUACGGGAGGCAGCAGUGAGGAAUAUUGGUCAAUGGGCGGGAGCCUGAACCAGCCAAGUCGCGUGAAGGAAAGAAGGAUCUAUGGUUCGUAAACUUCUUUUGCAGGGGAAUAAAGUGCAGGACGUGUCCUGUUUUGUAUGUACCCUGAGAAUAAGGAUCGGCUAACUCCGUGCCAGCAGCAGC
RNAcentral lists this ribosomal RNA (518 nucleotides) under uncultured bacterium. RNAcentral's name for it is "bacterial SSU rRNA". It matches the Rfam family "Bacterial small subunit ribosomal RNA", at positions 8 to 518 of the family's 1533-position model. The record is from RNAcentral.